GAUGAAGAACGCAGCGAAAUGCGAUACUUGGUGUGAAUUGCAGAAUCCCGUGAACCAUCGAGUCUUUGAACGCAAGUUGCGCCCGAAGCCACUAGGCCGAGGGCACGCCUGCCUGGGCGUCACACGCCGUUGCCCCCCCAUCUACUCCUUCGGGAUUGCGGGGGGGCGGAUGAUGGCCUCCUGUGCGCCUAGCCGCGCGGUUGGCAUAAAUACCAAGUCCUCGGCGACGCACGCCACGACAAUCGGUGGUUGCGAAACCUCGGUUGCCCGUCGUGUGCGUUCGUCGCGCAUCGAGGGCUCGAAAAAAUGCUCGGCUCCGGCUGGGCUUUCAACGUGACCCCAGGUCAGGCGGGGUUACCCGCUGAAUUUAAGCAUAUCAAUAAGCGGAGGA
This 391-nucleotide unclassified non-coding RNA is filed under the name soil metagenome. Its description in RNAcentral is "partial contains 5.8S ribosomal RNA, internal transcribed spacer 2, and large subunit ribosomal RNA". The stretch from base 1 to 122 matches the Rfam family "5.8S ribosomal RNA", at positions 35 to 154 of the family's 154-position model. The record is from RNAcentral.